UGGGGAAUUUUGGACAAUGGGCGAAAGCCUGAUCCAGCAAUGCCGCGUGUGUGAAGAAGGCCUUCGGGUUGUAAAGCACUUUUGUCCGGAAAGAAAUGGCUCUGGUUAAUACCUGGGGUCGAUGACGGUACCGGAAGAAUAAGGACCGGCUAACUACGUGCCAGCAGCCGCGGUAAUACGUAGGGUCCAAGCGUUAAUCGGAAUUACUGGGCGUAAAGCGUGCGCAGGCGGUUGUGCAAGACCGAUGUGAAAUCCCCGAGCUUAACUUGGGAAUUGCAUUGGUGACUGCACGGCUAGAGUGUGUCAGAGGGGGGUAGAAGUCCACGUGUAGCAGUGAAAUGCGUAGAGAUGUGGAGGAAUACCGAUGGCGAAGGCAGCCCCCUGGGAUAACACUGACGCUCAUGCACGAAAGCGUGGGGAGCAAACAGG
RNAcentral lists this ribosomal RNA (429 nucleotides) under Bacillota bacterium. RNAcentral describes it as "Firmicutes bacterium partial 16S ribosomal RNA". It matches the Rfam family "Bacterial small subunit ribosomal RNA", at positions 355 to 776 of the family's 1533-position model. The record is from RNAcentral. Lineage: Bacteria; Bacillati; Bacillota. RNAcentral also lists the same sequence under 1 other name.